UAUUACAAUGAAGAGUUUGAUCCUGGCUCAGGAUGAACGCUAGCUACAGGCUUAACACAUGCAAGUCGAGGGGCAGCAUGGUCUUAGCUUGCUAAGGCCGAUGGCGACCGGCGCACGGGUGAGUAACACGUAUCCAACCUGCCGUCUACUCUUGGGCAGCCUUCUGAAAGGAAGAUUAAUACAAGAUGGCAUCAUGAGUCCGCAUGUUCACAUGAUUAAAGGUAUUCCGGUAGACGAUGGGGAUGCGUUCCAUUAGAUAGUAGGCGGGGUAACGGCCCACCUAGUCUUCGAUGGAUAGGGGUUCUGAGAGGAAGGUCCCCCACAUUGGAACUGAGACACGGUCCAAACUCCUACGGGAGGCAGCAGUGAGGAAUAUUGGUCAAUGGGCGAGAGCCUGAACCAGCCAAGUAGCGUGAAGGAUGACUGCCCUAUGGGUUGUAAACUUCUUUUAUAAAGGAAUAAAGUCGGGUAUGCAUACCCGUUUGCAUGUACUUUAUGAAUAAGGAUCGGCUAACUCCGUGCCAGCAGCCGCGGUAAUACGGAGGAUCCGAGCGUUAUCCGGAUUUAUUGGGUUUAAAGGGAGCGUAGAUGGAUGUUUAAGUCAGUUGUGAAAGUUUGCGGCUCAACCGUAAAAUUGCAGUUGAUACUGGAUAUCUUGAGUGCAGUUGAGGCAGGCGGAAUUCGUGGUGUAGCGGUGAAAUGCUUAGAUAUCACGAAGAACUCCGAUUGCGAAGGCAGCCUGCUAAGCUGCAACUGACAUUGAGGCUCGAAAGUGUGGGUAUCAAACAGGAUUAGAUACCCUGGUAGUCCACACGGUAAACGAUGAAUACUCGCUGUUUGCGAUAUACGGCAAGCGGCCAAGCGAAAGCGUUAAGUAUUCCACCUGGGGAGUACGCCGGCAACGGUGAAACUCAAAGGAAUUGACGGGGGCCCGCACAAGCGGAGGAACAUGUGGUUUAAUUCGAUGAUACGCGAGGAACCUUACCCGGGCUUAAAUUGCAGAUGAAUUACGGUGAAAGCCGUAAGCCGCAAGGCAUCUGUGAAGGUGCUGCAUGGUUGUCGUCAGCUCGUGCCGUGAGGUGUCGGCUUAAGUGCCAUAACGAGCGCAACCCUUGUUGUCAGUUACUAACAGGUUCCGCUGAGGACUCUGACAAGACUGCCAUCGUAAGAUGUGAGGAAGGUGGGGAUGACGUCAAAUCAGCACGGCCCUUACGUCCGGGGCUACACACGUGUUACAAUGGGGGGUACAGAGGGCCGCUACCACGCGAGUGGAUGCCAAUCCCCAAAACCUCUCUCAGUUCGGACUGGAGUCUGCAACCCGACUCCACGAAGCUGGAUUCGCUAGUAAUCGCGCAUCAGCCACGGCGCGGUGAAUACGUUCCCGGGCCUUGUACACACCGCCCGUCAAGCCAUGGGAGCCGGGGGUACCUGAAGUGCGUAACCGCGAGGAGCGCCCUAGGGUAAAACUGGUGACUGGGGCUAAGUCGUAACAAGGUAGCCGUACCGGAAGGUGCGGCUGGAACACCUCCUUUCU
This 1534-nucleotide ribosomal RNA is filed under the name Phocaeicola vulgatus. RNAcentral describes it as "bacterial SSU rRNA". It matches the Rfam family "Bacterial small subunit ribosomal RNA". Lineage: Bacteria; Pseudomonadati; Bacteroidota; Bacteroidia; Bacteroidales; Bacteroidaceae. The record is from RNAcentral.